GGAACUGAAACAUCUAAGUACCCCGAGGAAAAGAAAUCAACCGAGAUUCCCCCAGUAGCGGCGAGCGAACGGGGAGCAGCCCAGAGCCUGAAUCAGUGUGUGUGUUAGUGGAAGCGUCUGGAAAGGCGCGCGAUACAGGGUGACAGCCCCGUACACAAAAAUGCACAUGCUGUGAGCUCGAUGAGUAGGGCGGGACACGUGGUAUCCUGUCUGAAUAUGGGGGGACCAUCCUCCAAGGCUAAAUACUCCUGACUGACCGAUAGUGAACCAGUACCGUGAGGGAAAGGCGAAAAGAACCCCGGCGAGGGGAGUGAAAAAGAACCUGAAACCGUGUACGUACAAGCAGUGGGAGCACGCUUAGGCGUGUGACUGCGUACCUUUUGUAUAAUGGGUCAGCGACUUAUAUUCUGUAGCAAGGUUAACCGAAUAGGGGAGCCGAAGGGAAACCGAGUCUUAACUGGGCGUUAAGUUGCAGGGUAUAGACCCGAAACCCGGUGAUCUAGCCAUGGGCAGGUUGAAGGUUGGGUAACACUAACUGGAGGACCGAACCGACUAAUGUUGAAAAAUUAGCGGAUGACUUGUGGCUGGGGGUGAAAGGCCAAUCAAACCGGGAGAUAGCUGGUUCUCCCCGAAAGCUAUUUAGGUAGCGCCUCGUGAAUUCAUCUCCGGGGGUAGAGCACUGUUUCGGCAAGGGGGUCAUCCCGACUUACCAACCCGAUGCAAACUGCGAAUACCGGAGAAUGUUAUCACGGGAGACACACGGCGGGUGCUAACGUCCGUCGUGAAGAGGGAAACAACCCAGACCGCCAGCUAAGGUCCCAAAGUCAUGGUUAAGUGGGAAACGAUGUGGGAAGGCCCAGACAGCCAGGAUGUUGGCUUAGAAGCAGCCAUCAUUUAAAGAAAGCGUAAUAGCUCACUGGUCGAGUCGGCCUGCGCGGAAGAUGUAACGGGGCUAAACCAUGCACCGAAGCUGCGGCAGCGACGCUGAUGCGUUGUUGGGUAGGGGAGCGUUCUGUAAGCCUGCGAAGGUGUGCUGUGAGGCAUGCUGGAGGUAUCAGAAGUGCGAAUGCUGACAUAAGUAACGAUAAAGCGGGUGAAAAGCCCGCUCGCCGGAAGACCAAGGGUUCCUGUCCAACGUUAAUCGGGGCAGGGUGAGUCGACCCCUAAGGCGAGGCCGAAAGGCGUAGUCGAUGGGAAACAGGUUAAUAUUCCUGUACUUGGUGUUACUGCGAAGGGGGGACGGAGAAGGCUAUGUUGGCCGGGCGACGGUUGUCCCGGUUUAAGCGUGUAGGCUGGUUUUCCAGGCAAAUCCGGAAAAUCAAGGCUGAGGCGUGAUGACGAGGCACUACGGUGCUGAAGCAACAAAUGCCCUGCUUCCAGGAAAAGCCUCUAAGCAUCAGGUAACAUCAAAUCGUACCCCAAACCGACACAGGUGGUCAGGUAGAGAAUACCAAGGCGCUUGAGAGAACUCGGGUGAAGGAACUAGGCAAAAUGGUGCCGUAACUUCGGGAGAAGGCACGCUGAUAUGUAGGUGAAGUCCCUCGCGGAUGGAGCUGAAAUCAGUCGAAGAUACCAGCUGGCUGCAACUGUUUAUUAAAAACACAGCACUGUGCAAACACGAAAGUGGACGUAUACGGUGUGACGCCUGCCCGGUGCCGGAAGGUUAAUUGAUGGGGUCAGCGCAAGCGAAGCUCUUGAUCGAAGCCCCGGUAAACGGCGGCCGUAACUAUAACGGUCCUAAGGUAGCGAAAUUCCUUGUCGGGUAAGUUCCGACCUGCACGAAUGGCGUAAUGAUGGCCAGGCUGUCUCCACCCGAGACUCAGUGAAAUUGAACUCGCUGUGAAGAUGCAGUGUACCCGCGGCAAGACGGAAAGACCCCGUGAACCUUUACUAUAGCUUGACACUGAACAUUGAGCCUUGAUGUGUAGGAUAGGUGGGAGGCUUGGAAGUGUGGACGCCAGUCUGCAUGGAGCCGACCUUGAAAUACCACCCUUUAAUGUUUGAUGUUCUAACGUUGACCCGUAAUCCGGGUUGCGGACAGUGUCUGGUGGGUAGUUUGACUGGGGCGGUCUCCUCCUAAAGAGUAACGGAGGAGCACGAAGGUUGGCUAAUCCUGGUCGGACAUCAGGAGGUUAGUGCAAUGGCAUAAGCCAGCUUGACUGCGAGCGUGACGGCGCGAGCAGGUGCGAAAGCAGGUCAUAGUGAUCCGGUGGUUCUGAAUGGAAGGGCCAUCGCUCAACGGAUAAAAGGUACUCCGGGGAUAACAGGCUGAUACCGCCCAAGAGUUCAUAUCGACGGCGGUGUUUGGCACCUCGAUGUCGGCUCAUCACAUCCUGGGGCUGAAGUAGGUCCCAAGGGUAUGGCUGUUCGCCAUUUAAAGUGGUACGCGAGCUGGGUUUAGAACGUCGUGAGACAGUUCGGUCCCUAUCUGCCGUGGGCGCUGGAGAACUGAGGGGGGCUGCUCCUAGUACGAGAGGACCGGAGUGGACGCAUCACUGGUGUUCGGGUUGUCAUGCCAAUGGCACUGCCCGGUAGCUAAAUGCGGAAGAGAUAAGUGCUGAAAGCAUCUAAGCACGAAACUUGCCCCGAGAUGAGUUCUCCCUGACUCCUUGAGAGUCCUGAAGGAACGUUGAAGACGACGACGUUGAUAGGCCGGGUGUGUAAGCGCAGCGAUGCGUUGAGCUAACCGGUACUAAUGAACCGUGAGG
RNAcentral lists this ribosomal RNA (2708 nucleotides) under Escherichia coli. RNAcentral describes it as "partial 23S ribosomal RNA". It matches the Rfam family "Bacterial large subunit ribosomal RNA". Lineage: Bacteria; Pseudomonadati; Pseudomonadota; Gammaproteobacteria; Enterobacterales; Enterobacteriaceae. The record is from RNAcentral.